This 309-nucleotide unclassified non-coding RNA is filed under the name Hevea brasiliensis (rubber tree). Lineage: Eukaryota; Viridiplantae; Streptophyta; Magnoliopsida; Malpighiales; Euphorbiaceae. The record is from RNAcentral.
GCAAAAACAUCAUAACAUAAACCAAGAUCUAGAUACAAUUUUUGCAAAAGGUUUUGUUUUAACUGAUUCAAAUAUGUUCCAUGACAAUUUUCAUGGUUUUAUUUUCUGCAUCAGGACAAAAUGUGCACUUCCUGAUCCUAAAAGUCAGUGCUUCCUCUUUUUCAUUUAUCUCAACCUUAAAUACCUAUAUUGUCAGGAGACUUACUUAUGCCUUGGCCUAGUGAAAAAAUUAAACUUUUCUAGAAGUAUCUCACUAAUAAUAAUUUUUCAUUUCCAAAAUUUCCGAAAAAAGAAAAAAAAUAAAGAAAA